Molecule: long non-coding RNA, 690 nt
Organism: Dalotia coriaria
Lineage: Eukaryota; Metazoa; Arthropoda; Insecta; Coleoptera; Staphylinidae
Exons: 3
Source: RefSeq, a predicted model, not a curated record
CGGCUUGCAGCGCAACGUGUGUGAAUCGGAAAAAAGCUUCCUGAAUAAAACGCUUAAAAAAAGGUUAUGGCCAAGUCUAACAAGAUAUCCUAGCUAUGUACCGCACACCGGAAAUAGGAAUCGAUUAGAGAGGCUUAUAAUGCAAGAUUUCAGGCAGGGUGAAAACGAGGUUAUGUAAUGAAAUGUCUCAUCGCCGCAACUUCGUACCUGCACUACCGAAGAAUAUUAAUUAACGUAAUGCGGAAACGUUGCGACUGCUCGGUCGUGCAACCAACCUCAACACCAAGAACAACAAACAACAAGCGCCGCCACCGACUGGACUCUGAAUCGAAUGCUGGACGUCCCAACGUCGAGAGCAACAAACGUCGCAUGAAUAAGAAAUGCACGGAAUGCGAAAUUUAUAUACCGGUGGUGUUAGCCCACUCGACUCGGGGAUCAGUUGAGACUUUUCCGGAUGCCAGCAAACACUAUCGCAUAUUCUAGCGCCAGUUUACCGCCGCCGGCCAUGUUCUUUAUGUUGGAUCAACAAACUCCACUCUAAAAUGUCGCAAACGAUAUUUUUCUACAAACUAAAAAUAUUUCACAUAAUUUUUAUAUUCAUUUGUGAUUCACUUUAAUGAAUUGCAUAUUCAUUUGCAUUUACAUUCUUUAUUUGUCCGCUGACUGAAACUGUGAGUUUUGCGAGAGUAA